RNAcentral lists this ribosomal RNA (1021 nucleotides) under Salinibacterium sp. Its description in RNAcentral is "bacterial SSU rRNA". It matches the Rfam family "Bacterial small subunit ribosomal RNA", at positions 100 to 1134 of the family's 1533-position model. Lineage: Bacteria; Bacillati; Actinomycetota; Actinomycetes; Micrococcales; Microbacteriaceae. The record is from RNAcentral.
GAACGGGUGAGUAACACGUGAGUAACCUGCCCUUGACUCUGGAAUAAGCGUUGGAAACGACGUCUAAUACUGGAUACGAGCUUCAGCCGCAUGGCUAGGAGCUGGAAAGAAUUUCGGUCAAGGAUGGACUCGCGGCCUAUCAGGUAGUUGGUGAGGUAAUAGCUCACCAAGCCUACGACGGGUAGCCGGCCUGAGAGGGUGACCGGCCACACUGGAACUGAGACACGGUCCAGACUCCUACGGGAGGCAGCAGUGGGGAAUAUUGCACAAUGGGCGAAAGCCUGAUGCAGCAACGCCGCGUGAGGGACGACGGCCUUCGGGUUGUAAACCUCUUUUAGUAGGGAAGAAGCGAAAGUGACGGUACCUGCAGAAAAAGCACCGGCUAACUACGUGCCAGCAGCCGCGGUAAUACGUAGGGUGCAAGCGUUAUCCGGAAUUAUUGGGCGUAAAGAGCUCGUAGGCGGUUUGUCGCGUCUGCUGUGAAAACUGGAGGCUCAACCUCCAGCCUGCAGUGGGUACGGGCAGACUAGAGUGCGGUAGGGGAGAUUGGAAUUCCUGGUGUAGCGGUGGAAUGCGCAGAUAUCAGGAGGAACACCGAUGGCGAAGGCAGAUCUCUGGGCCGUAACUGACGCUGAGGAGCGAAAGCAUGGGGAGCGAACAGGAUUAGAUACCCUGGUAGUCCAUGCCGUAAACGUUGGGAACUAGAUGUAGGGACCAUUCCACGGUUUCUGUGUCGCAGCUAACGCAUUAAGUUCCCCGCCUGGGGAGUACGGCCGCAAGGCUAAAACUCAAAGGAAUUGACGGGGGCCCGCACAAGCGGCGGAGCAUGCGGAUUAAUUCGAUGCAACGCGAAGAACCUUACCAAGACUUGACAUAUACGAGAACGGGCUAGAAAUAGUUCACUCUUUGGACACUCGUAAACAGGUGGUGCAUGGUUGUCGUCAGCUCGUGUCGUGAGAUGUUGGGUUAAGUCCCGCAACGAGCGCAACCCUCGUUCUUUGUUGCCAGCACGUAAUGGUGG